Molecule: ribosomal RNA, 1673 nt
Filed under: Regalecus glesne (king of herrings)
Lineage: Eukaryota; Metazoa; Chordata; Actinopteri; Lampriformes; Regalecidae
Description: 16S rRNA
Rfam family: Bacterial large subunit ribosomal RNA
Source: RNAcentral
CGCUAAACAACUAGCCCAGACACUACGCGUAAAAUUUAAAUAUAAAUAACCUGAAAGACCCUCAACUGGCAAAUUGAAUCAUCCUCCCUCUUUAGUAUAGGUGAUAGAAACCGAAUUCUUGGAGCGACAGAUAAAGUACCGCAAGGGAAAGUUGAAAUACCCCAUGAAAAUCCUUAAGCGUAUAAAAGCAGAGCUAACCCCUCGUACCUUUUGCAUCAUGAUCAAGCUAGUCAUCUCAGGCAGAGCGAUCUUUAGUCUGACCCCCCGAAACCAAGUGAGCUACUUCGAGUCCGUCCAUUAAGGGACUAACCCGUCUCUGUGGCAAAAGAGUGGGAAGAACUCUGAGUAGAGGUGAUAAACCUACCGAACUUGGUGAUAGCUGGUUGCCCAGGAAGUGAAUAUAAGUUCAGCCCCACCCCCCCUCACACCACCCCUAUAAUUAUUCUCAAGCCAUUGGCUUACGCGGGAGGUGGGAGUUACUCAGGGGAGGUUCAGCUCCCCUGAGGCAGGACACAACCUUACUAAGGUGGGCAAAAAUCAUACUAAUUAAGGCUACGCAGCCCCAGUGGGCCUGAAAGCAGCCACCUGAUUUGAUAGCGUUAAAGCUUAAGCUGUAGUACCCCAUUUAUCCUGAUAUCUAGUUUUUUCCCCCUACCCAUACUGGGCCCUUUUAUUUACCAAUAAAAAAGAUUAUGCUAGAACGAGUAAUAUGAGGAGCUAAUCCUCUCCCUGCAUAAGUGUACCCCGGAAUGGAUAAUCCGCCGGACAUAACUCGAUCCCAACUCAAAGAGGGUAGCGGACAUAAAAUAAAAACCUAGUAAAUCACCCGCGCUUAUAUCGUUGACCUAACACAAGAAUGCAACCAGGAAAGACUUAACGAGGGGGAAGGAACUCGGCAAACACUAGCCCCGCCUGUUUACCAAAAACAUCACCUCUUGCCUUAUACAUAUAAGAGGCCCCGCCUGCCCGGUGACGAAAGUUUAACGGCCGCGGUAUUAUGACCGUGCAAAGGUAGCGUAAUCACUUGUCUUUUAAAUGGAGACCUGUAUGAAAGGCGACACGAGGGCAAAUCUGUCUCCCCCCUCCAGUCAAUGAAACUGAUCUCCCCGUGCAGAAGCGGGGAUACAACCACAAGACGAGAAGACCCUGUGGAGCUUCAGACUUUGGUAAGCCUGCCUCAACCCCUCUGACAAAGGAGGGUUAACACAGCAUCCCCUUAUUUAAAUGUCUUUGGUUGGGGCGACCACGGAGAUAAUUUUAACCCCCGCGCGGAUAGGGACUUUCCUAUAACCCAGAGCUACAGCUCUAAGUGUCAAGACUCUUGACCUUCUAUGAUCCGGCCCGCCGAUCAACGAACCAAGUUACCCCAGGGAUAACAGCGCAAUCCUCUUUUAGAGCCCAUAUCGACAAGGGGGUUUACGACCUCGAUGUUGGAUCAGGACAUCCUAAUGGUGCAGCCGCUAUUAAGGGUUCGUUUGUUCAACGAUUAAAGUCCUACGUGAUCUGAGUUCAGACCGGAGAAAUCCAGGUCAGUUUCUAUCUGUGAGAUGAUCUUCUCUAGUACGAAAGGACCGAGAAGAUAGGGCCCAUGCCAAUGGUAAGCCCUAUCCCUACCCGCUGAAGCUAACUAAAGAGGCCCAAGGGAUGUGACCGUGCGCCAGAAAGCAUGGCUA